This 164-nucleotide ribosomal RNA is filed under the name uncultured bacterium. RNAcentral's name for it is "partial 16S ribosomal RNA". It matches the Rfam family "Bacterial small subunit ribosomal RNA", at positions 355 to 511 of the family's 1533-position model. The record is from RNAcentral.
UAGGGAAUCUUCCACAAUGGGCGCAAGCCUGAUGGAGCAACACCGCGUGAGUGAAGAAGGGUUUCGGCUCGUAAAGCUCUGUUGUUAAAGAAGAACACGUAUGAGAGUAACUGUUCAUACGUUGACGGUAUUUAACCAGAAAGCCACGGCUAACUACGUGCCUG